UACGAAGGGGGGCUAGCGUUGCUCGGAAUCACUGGGCGUAAAGCGCACGUAGGCGGCUCUUUAAGUCGGGGGUGAAAUCCUGGAGCUCAACUCCAGAACUGCCUUCGAUACUGGAGAGCUCGAGUCCGGGAGAGGUGAGUGGAACUGCGAGUGUAGAGGUGAAAUUCGUAGAUAUUCGCAAGAACACCAGUGGCGAAGGCGGCUCACUGGCCCGGUACUGACGCUGAGGUGCGAAAGCGUGGGUAGCAAACAGG
RNAcentral lists this ribosomal RNA (254 nucleotides) under uncultured bacterium. Its description in RNAcentral is "partial 16S ribosomal RNA". It matches the Rfam family "Bacterial small subunit ribosomal RNA", at positions 524 to 776 of the family's 1533-position model. The record is from RNAcentral.